This 360-nucleotide long non-coding RNA is filed under the name Brassica rapa (field mustard). RNAcentral describes it as "long non-coding RNA (BRAP_LNC008403)". Lineage: Eukaryota; Viridiplantae; Streptophyta; Magnoliopsida; Brassicales; Brassicaceae. The record is from RNAcentral.
AAAACAAGAAAAUGAAUAUCCUGCAUCACAUUUGAUGCACACAAUCUCACAAUUCAAUCAUAAUCAUCUUAAGUAUCUUUUCAAGCACAAGCAAUGAAUAAGAUGAAUGAUAAAGAUUGAAAAGAGUUUUAAAAGUCUAAGGGAACUUCCCUUGUGUUUUUGUGAGUUUCCAAACUCGGCCAAUGCACCAUCUUCAUGGCAUCAUCAACUUCUUGGAAAGGCAGAAUGGAUUCAUCAGCUUCUCCUCAAUCACCUCUCAUUGAAGCCGCAUUGAUGGAGAGCCUUCCUCCUCACUCGCCAAGGCUGCUCUGAACAGCCUCUUGCCUAGACACGCCACUGACUUGGUCCGGUUGAUGAUCC